Molecule: long non-coding RNA, 27091 nt
Filed under: Ananas comosus (pineapple)
Lineage: Eukaryota; Viridiplantae; Streptophyta; Magnoliopsida; Poales; Bromeliaceae
Description: long non-coding RNA (ACOM_LNC044328)
Source: RNAcentral
CUAGAAGACAAAGAAGGAGAAGAAGAAGACAAGGAAAGGAAGGAAAAGAAGAGGAAGAAAGUGAAGAAGAAGACAAGGAGAAGAAGAAAACCUCUCCUCUCCUUCUCUAGUUUGGACAAGGAGCAAGUUUAGAGGUAAGCUUUGCCCCUUCUCAUGCUAAAUUCCAAACUAGGGUUUGGAUUAACCUAGAAAUGGUUUUAAUGGAGUAUUUAGAGUAUUGGAAGCUUUUCUUUUGCUUCUUUUGAGAUCAAGACCAUAGAAAUGGUGAAGCUUGAGGUGAGCUUCAUCACCUCUCAUGGUGAAACCCUAAGUCGGGUUUUGAUUUGUCUAAAGAUGGUUAUAAUGGACUUUUUAGAGUAUAAUGAAGCUAUUUUUGCUUCUCUUUGAGAUCAAACCCUAGGUUUGAGAUAUGUAUUGGAGCUAGGGCACCAAAUUGGGGCUUUUGCUCAUGAGGGUUUCUAAGUGCAAUUGACCCUCUAGAAACCUAAUUGGGGGUAUUUCCGACGCGUUGGUGCGCUCGGAUUAACGUUAUGAAAAGCCGAUGAAAAGAUAUGAGCAAAAUGACCUAUUAGGGUUUCAUUUUGCCGCAGGUAAAGAACGAAGGGUCUAAAAAUCCCAAGAAAAUCAUCGGAGCACCUUUGAAAGCCUACGAGGUGGGUGGUGCUUCUCAAACUCAUUGAACUUCUCUCUAUGCCUAAUGUGUCAUUCAUUUGAGCAUAUAUAUAUGUUGUUGCAUGCAUUUUAGGGUAAAGUAAUGAUGAAAAUGUAAUGUUGCAUGAUUGUGAGUACAACUUGCAUAAUAUGAUGAAUGAGAACCUUAUGAAUGUUAGAACCCUAUGUGUAUGCAUGAGAGAAAAGUGAGCACCCAAAGUGAGCAAAAGAACAGAGUGACACAAUGACAUAGAUCGAGUGGCAUUCGAAACGUAAAGUAAAGUGACACUAGAGUUAGUGUGAGCCAAAGAACCAAAGUGAUGUAAAGAAUGAUGAAAAUGACAAUGUGUAAAGUUAAAGUAAAGUGGGGCAAUAAGAACGAGAAAUGUAAAGAACAAGAAUGCUAAAGAAAACCAAAGUAAAAGAAAAGUAAAGAACAACGAUUGCUAGAGUGGCAACAUAAAGUGAUGUAAUGAACACUAGAGCUAGUGUAAAGUCAAGAUUGAACUUAUAAAUCCUUUGAGUUAAGGAUAUGAUCAUACUUGCUAUGAGUUCCGUGCUCGAGGGCGGUCGCUCCCCCUCGGGCGAUGCGCUCCGGAGUUAUGCAUCACGGGUUGGAGUAAACCCGAAGGACGGUCCUAGCGGGUGAGUUCCUGCGAUGAUGGACUUAAUGUGAAGCAAGUUAAUGUGGCGAAACCCCCGGGUUAGCCUUGAGAUUAAAGAAUAAAGAACAAAGAGCAAAGUGUAAAGAACAAGAACAAAGUGUAAAGAUAAAGAACAAAAGAAUUUGCAUAAUCUGCAUUUCUUUAAUGUUGAGCAUAUUCCUUGCUUAUUGUUCAGGCAUAUUAGCAUCAUGUUGUAGAUUGGUUACCACAUUUCAGCUUAUCCUUUCUAUUAUGCCUGAGUUAGUCCUAGUGGGAAAGUCGAUGAUGUUGAGGCCGAACCCACUGGGAACUUUGCUGUAGUUCUCACCCCACUAUUUCCACAGAGCCGGGACCUAGCGAGCCGGCGAGCGACCGAGGCAAAGGUAUCGCGCCUUAGUCAGAGGCCACCAGAGUUGGGUUUACAUUUUGUUAGUAGACACCUUUUUAUCAUCUUUUGUACAUGAUGGUAAAUGAUGUAAAGAAAAGAAUGUACAUCUUAUUUUGAGGUAAAUGUGAUGUAAUAAAGAAAUGAUGAAAUUUUGUAAUGAAAUGCAAAGAAUCCUAAAUGUAAGAGAUGGAUGCAUUGUAUAUGAUCUAAAAUGAAUCAUAUUACUUGUGUUGUAAGAGAUGGAUGCAUUGUAUAUGAUCUAAAAUGAAUCAUAUUACUUGUGUAGAUGUUUAGUUUUCCUUUCUUUCACUAAUGGCUAUUGCUUACCCUCGCGUAAGCCGUUUGUGUAUGUUUCCCCUAGUGCAUUUCUUGAUUGAAUUUGUACACGUGAUGAGCCUUGGGCGGAUAGGGGAAACUCUGUCCGUCCGGCGUCUGUUUGACGUGGUCGGGUCGGGCCAAAUUGGUGUCGGUCCCGGGGCGGGACAGGGUAUGUUGGUUCUCCUCGCCCGACAGUGAUUCAACGGGUAUGUUGGUUCUCCACGCCCAGUAAAAGAGAUGGCAAAUAAGAAUCAUAACUACAGGUACGUUGGUUCUUCUCGCCCGGUAGUAAUUCAACGGGUAUGUUGGUUCUCCUCGCCCGUAGGUCCAUUGAGCGACUUGUGGUUCGGGGUUCGACGGUAUAUCCUCACCCUGUGAGUAGACUUAUAGUCGAGAGGAUUGAAGACUGAGGUGCAUGUGAGACUUCCUUCGCCUCGAGCCUAACAGAGCGCGGACUAUCCGCGGUGGAUUAACUCAAGACCAAGUCGAGUAGCAUAGUUGGCUAAGGUAAAAGUAACCUUACGAAAGAAUGGCCAAUGAGCAUGGUGUGACUAAGAAUAAAGAAUAAAGAAUGAAGAAUGACUAAUGUUAAAGAAUAGCAAAUGCUAAAGAAUAGCUAAUAAUGUAAAGAAUGAUUAGCGAUAAAGAAGGGCUAAGAAUAAAGAUAGCAUCAAUUAAUCUACUUGCAUGAGUUGCAUGAUUUGCAUAUUGCAUAUUGUGAGGCAUGAAUAUGAUAAAUGUUAGUUGCAUGAAUUAUAUAUAUCUGUGGAUAUUUGUUGGACUAACAUAUUUGCAGUGCCUUCUUUGGAUCUGGUGGGUCGAGCUCUUUCCUUGGGUGGCCAUACCCACUGGAAACUAUAGACAAUAAUUCUCAUCCCUGUGUUGUUUUUGGGGGUUACAGGUUCACACGUGAGCGGCGCGGCGGGCAAGGCAAGGGCGUAACUCCAUAAAUAGCGCCCUACCACCAAGACCAGAGAUAGUAGUACCCCGAGUCGGCUUAGAACAAUGUUGUAAUAAAUUGUACUAACUUGGAUUGUAUUUGGAAGCUAAUUGAGAAUUGAAAAUGUAAUAUGUAAAAUGUAUGUGAGUUGAAUGCUUGUAAUAGUAUAGUAUUUAUAUUUUCAUACCUUCCUUAUGCAAUCUUUGUUGAAUGCUGUUCCUGGUUGGAAUCUCGCGCAUUGUAUGGAUUGUGACGCCUUGGACGUACAGGGGAGACUCUGUCCGUGGUAUAGGAAAAAUCCUGUCCGUUUGGCGGUCUGUUGGCGUGCCCGAAUCCGACCAAAGAGGCGGGCUCGGGGCGUGACAUAUCUAGAGAGAGGAGAGAGCUUCUCUCUCUACCUUUAUUGGUGUGUGUGUGUGUUGGGCUGUGGAAGAAGGAAGAAGAAGGAUGGAGGCCUUCUUAUAAGUCAACCUCCCACAAUUACCAAUCAGCCCUUGCACUUUCUGGGCAGUUUUCGGGUUCAGGGUCCGGACCUUGGCUAGAGGGUCCGGACCCCGUAGGUCCCUCCAACCCAGAAUUUCAGGACUUUGCCAAAUUUUCAGCAAUUUCAGUCUUUCGCCAAUUUUGGUUUGUUUUCACUCGUUUUAGCUCUCGGGGCCUCCGAUGCACUUUUAAUCGUACCAAGACACCAAAACAUAUUUUCGAGCGCGUUUAGGUCACCGUUUCAUCUACGCUUUGCCGGAUUUCGGCCAAAGUCCAACCUAGCUAUUCGAGUUUCGUUUUUGCGUCCAACUCACACCGAAAUCAAUCGGAUGCACCCGAACCUCACCGGAACUACUCCAAGAAUAGCUUUACAAACUAACAUACCCUGUAACUUCAUAACUAUAGAAGUUCGGUAUGCUACAGUGUUGCAUAUGUUUUGUGACCUAGUUGGUCGGUUGUUGUAUUCCGUAUCUGUGACCUCUUCGGUCGGCUUACUGCAUUGUUAUCGUGACCUACUUGGUCAGUUGGACUACUUGUGACCUAUACGGUCGGUAUACCCUGAGAGGUAGGAUUGUCGGCUAGUGGCUGACGGUUAGUUCUGGAUUAUACCGAUGCAUGAUGUAACAUUCUUGUGACUUAUUGGUCGGUUCUUGCGCAUACAUGGUAGUUGACCUGAGUGGUCGGUACUUACGUACCUUCGGGAGGAUGUUGAGUUGUUCCAUCCUAGUUGACCUGAGUGGUCGGUACUUGUGUUUCCUUAUGGUUCGAUGACCUAUUGGUUUCUCGAGGGGCGGUGAUUGUCGGGUAGUUGCUGACGAUUAGCUAUUGAGCAUAUACAUGACUAUACCUUGUACGGUACUGAAGGAGUAUUAGAUAGGGUUACUAACCCAAGGUACUUCAGUUGCCAGCCCAGUGGGAGGUGAUGAGUCAUAGACAGGCUUCGCCACCCUGAGUUCUCAACCCCAGUCUUGAGACAGAGUUAGCGACUCUGCGUAAUGGUUGUUGUGUCCCUCCGGAGUGGUACUUGAUUUGCGGUUCUUGAGACCUAUGGGCGAGCUUAGGCCAAGUCUUCAUGACAGGUCACAGAGAUUGGGUAUAUCUUGGACUUCUAGUAUGUCCAGUUGAUGCAUACUUGCACCUUGUUCUGUAUUACAGUAGCGGCUAGUUAUAUUCUCUGUAUUGUUGUUUACCCCUGCAUCAUUACUACUAUAGUUAUGAUAUCCAUGUAUGCAUUCUGUUCUACUUUACAGUAGCGGUAGUUACAUGUUCUAUUAUUGUUUCCUUUCCUUCUGGUAUUAUAGCUACUAUAUUUGUGAUAUCUACAUAUGACUUUGUUGAUCUCUUUCUGCCGGUGAGUACUUUUCGCCUUCGUCGGCUUGCGGUACCCACUGGGAGGGGAGACAUAUUUACAUGUUCUCACCCCCCACCAUUUUUCAGGUAUUGCGGGCGGUGAGGGUUGAGACGAGACGUGAGACACGUUCGUAGCGGUCGAUAGAGUCUCCGGCCCGGUGACAUUCGGUCUAGUUUCUAUCCUUGCUUAUUCAAAAUAUAUAACUUAAACUUUAUGGUUCAGUUGGCUUUCAUUUAAUUGGAUAAAUGAGAUUUUGUGAAUGAGAUAAAGAUUUAAUGAUUUUCAUGAGAUGAAAAUGGUUUUCUAUCCCUCGUGAUAGCGUGUUUUAAAGAAAAAGGGUUUCCGUGUGGGAAACAGUUUCGAUAGGGUUUUUAUUGGUUUCAUGACUCUUAGUGUUUCAAAACAAGUUUCCGGGUAGGAAACAUUUUAAACUAAUAUAUGUGGAAUUACUAUUAUCUGUGAGGAUAUAAAGUGGAAUCUGUGAUGUGGUAUAUGUGUGGGGAUGUUUGUACAGUUGUGGUUGUAUUUGUACUUGUGCGACGCCAUGCAAAUACAGGAGAGACUUUUUCCGUGUGAACAGUGGACUCCCUGUAUUUGUGGCGAAUCUGGCAUACCCUGGGGAUCAGAUUUUUCAAAAAAAAAUUUGGGCGCUUCCGCAUUGCUUUUAAAUCAAAAAGGGACCUCGGGGCGUGACACAAAGUCCGCAUCCAUACAUAUUCUUGUGCUGUAAGGGUUCCACUUUGUAUUCCGCCUUCGUACUAGAGAGCGCUACAUCGUCUUGUUUCUUAGUACACCAUGAUACACAAGCGGUGUCACGCCCCGAGCCCCGCCAAUUGGGCCGGUUCGGGCGCGUCGAACAGACGCCGGACGGACAGCACCUCCCCUGUCCGCCCAAGGCUAAGGCGACGAGAUCAUGUACAACAAGUUCCCAGAAAAACAACUUGAAAUACGUACAAGAUCAAGCAACAAUAACGAGAGCACAACCAAUGCUAAACAUAUAAGAGCAAUCAUCACAAGUAUAAACAAGUGAACGAAAGAGAGAGAUUUCUAACUAUUACAUCCAUUCAAUCUCUUUACAUUGCUUUAAUUUACAUUUUUAAGCUUUCAAAACAUAAUCAUAAAUUUUACAAUCUUUCCAAAACAUCUCACAACCUAUACAUCAUCUAUGCUCGUAUACAAAAGGUAGCUCUAAUGCAUAAUGGAAAGUCACUACACUAGGGCUCUAUGCCCUUGCCGCGAUCCUCCCCUGGAACGCUCGCACUUGGCCCUGCAAUAAAAUGGGGUAAGAACUAUAUAAAUAUAGUUCCCAGUGGGUUCGGCCGCCGACUCCGCCGAUCUUCCCACUAGGUCUAAGCUGGCACAGAUAGAUAGAUAGAUAGAUAGAUAUUGAACUGCAACUACGAUCUAAUAUGCCAUCAAAUGCAAACAAUGCAUAGAAUAUCAUCUAAUAACAAGCCUACCAUUUUGCUAGUAUGCUUCAACAAUGUAAUGAAUACAAAUGCAACAUAGUUAUGUAAUCCUAUAACAUAUACUAUGUUUAAUCAUGGUAUGAAUGCAAAUCCACUUAUGCUAUUCAUGUCAUUACCCAAUCCACUAGGCUAACACGCCUAAGAUCUCAAAUCACAUAGGUGAGGAGCUACCCCGCUCUUAUCUCACCGGUCUCACAUCUCGAAUGCUAUAGGUAAAGAGUUACCCCACUCUUGCCCGACUCAGAUCUCAAGUCCUAUAGGUGAAGAGCUACCCCGCUCCUCGCCCAACUCAUAACUCAAAUGCCUAAGGGUAAGAGCUACCCCGCUCUAAUCUCAUAGGUGAAGGAAUAGUAUGUCCACUCACAGUAUGAAUGCAAAUUCACUAUGUUAUUCAUGUCAUUAUCUAAUCCUUGGCCAACUCUGAGGUUCGCCCACGACUCACAUGCAUCUCAUGGGUAAGGAGACUCAACUCGCUCAGCAAACCCGAGACCGUCUGCGGGACCCCAUAAGGCUAUCCCCGGGACCACAUAAGGCUAUCCCUCGUGUGACAAACUCCGGAGUGCACGCUUGUGUGGAGCGACUACCACGAGCUCUGAACAGACAGUGAGUAUGAUCCAAUUCUCUCAACUCAAGGAUACCCUACCAUCUAGGGUUAACAACACAACACUUUAGGUUCUCUACCCGAAUCAUUACUAGGGAAAUCCACCUAUCCCUAUGUUCAAUGCCAUAAGUGUCAACUACACUAAAUUCUCAUGCAAUAUGCCAUCUCAUGCAAUAUGCCACAAACUAGGGAAAUGCACCUAUUCCCUAUGUUCAAUGCCAUAAGUGUCAACUAUACUAAAUUCUCAUGCAAUAUGCCACAAACUAGGGAAAUGCACCUAUUCCUUAUGUUCAAUGCCAUAAGUGUCAACUACACUAGAUUCUCAUGCAAUAUGCCACAACUAGGUUCCGAUGCCACUCGUCAUGUUAUUAACACUAUUUACAUGCCACUCGUCCAAGUUCUAAGUGUUUCUAAUCCACUAAUUUACGAUUCAUUGGUUCUCGUUACCAAAUUCAAGUUCACCAAUUUUUAUCACUAUAGGAUCUCAUGUCAAUCAACCCAAUCCUCAUGCCCCUUAGAAUCAUGUGUCAAGCUACCCCGCUACACUACUAAGCAAGCAUGUAAGGAAAGCAAGAAAAGAAUGCAUCUAUAACAAUUAUCCUAUAAUGCAUAAGAACAAAUAUAUGGAACAUGAUCAACAAUUCUAACUCGGACAUAGAAAGAAGCUCAGUUCCUUCGGGAUGGACACCCCCCACCUUUUAUCGCGUUCCGAUUGCCCGUCGUCACUUGCAAUCGGUCUCCCGCGGCACUCAUCGUCCGGUUGGCCCAAUCUUGCGAUUGCUCACCAACCGUGCGUCACUUCGCGGCCUCGGAAUUUAUAGGUCUACAACUUGGCGCCACGAGCCCACGAAUUCGAUUUCAUGAUUUUAGGAAGUCGCCUCGGCCCUCCAGGCGGAAACGAAGCCAAAAAUGUCGUUUCUUCAAUAUCUUCGCACCGGCUCGACGAAUCGCCGAACCGACUUCGCCAGCGUGUCAGAAUACCUAACAAUUAGGUUUACGAAGGGUCAAUUAAGAUCAAACCCAACUAUUUACAAAACCCCCAUUUGGAGCCCUAGGUGUUCAACAAUGCAAGAAUACCUCAAACAAGGUCUUGAAUCAUGCAAUUAACACCUAUUUAACAUCCUAGGGUUCAUCUAAAACCAUCUUUAUAGUAUAAGAAUCUAACCCCAAAGAUUCACCAUGAUUGAGCUUAGAAGUUUACCUAUCCAAGCUUGCUACUAGCCAAGGAAGGAGAAGAAGAAGAAAUCCCUUCUCUUGAUCUUGAUCUCCACCAAAAUCCUCUCCUCCAACACCUUCUAGAGAGAGAGAGAGAGAGAGAGAGAGAGAUGCUUUUGGCUGCAAAUGUGAGGGAGGAGAUAAAAGAGUCCAAACUCUCUUCUAUACACUCACCACAUUUACACAAAGGCCUCUCAACAAUAUGAGUUGUGCACAGCCCAAACUAGGCCAUUUUCGGGUGCGGGGACCGGUCCUUGGACUUGAGGGACCGGAUCCCGUAGGUCCCAAAAAACAGCAUUUCCAGACUUAGCUAAAUUUUUAGCUUUUUCAGCUUUUGAGUCCGUUUUCGCUCGUUUUCACUCCAUGAGUCUCCGAUUCAUGUCAAAUCGCACCGAGACUCCCAAUACAUGUUUUCGAGCGUAUUUACAUCAUCUUUUCACCCACGCUAAUGCCGGAUAUAGUUCAUAGUCCAACAUAGCCCUUCAGGUUCCAUUUUCACUUCUACGCGCUUCGAAAACGCCCAAAUGCUCCCGGACUUCACCGGAACUUCACCGGAACCAUUCCGAUGGCUCUCCAACCAAAUGUACACCGUAACUUCAUAAUUUUAGAAGUCCGGUACCUUACAUCCUCCCCUCAUUAAAAAGAGUUUCGUCCUCGAAACUCACUAACUUCUAAUCCAAUCCACACCUCGACUCAACUUAUUGAGUAAUCGAGGGUUUCAAUGUACUUUCGCACUCUGGGGUGACCUUUUACUCAUUGGAAUUAUCCAAAGAUCCACUACGGAGGAUGUGAGACUGGAUUCACUCAUAUUCGCUAAGUAUAACACCAAAAGUGCAUUACUACCUCCGCAAGCCUCGAUGGCAGCACGAGUCGAUAUUCGACGACUCCUCACGCUCCAACAUCACUCGCUACAUAGCAUACAAAGAGCCUUUCUUUGCAUUUCUCAUCCCCUUAGGAAACACACUCUGAUUCGACCACCGGCAUUGCUUAAAAGCAAUAUCAUUGGUGCAUCACCCAAUCAUGAGUGCUCUAUCCUCAAUUGGAUCCUUGCUCUACUAUGAGAUGGCCUACCCCGGCACAUCUCAAAUUUUCAAUCCUCAAGAGAGCAUUGUCCUCCAAUUCUCACAUGGUUAUCCAAUAUCCAAGUGUCUUCUAGAGACCACUUUGCUUUCUCUUUCACAAGCCACGGCUAGCAUCAAUCCGCUCUCGCAACAAGCUCACACGAACUCCCAUUCGUGAAUCCAAGCCUAAACUUGUCGAUAAGGCUACUCGCCCACCGUUUACCUCGAUCUCAUAGGUGAACCACAGGUCACCAAUCCUACGUAGGCCUACCGCCUAAACCAGUCUCAACUACGCGCAACGUCUCUCGCUCGCAAGCGUAGACCCAAUCAUAACCGGGCGAAGUUCUCACUUGGGAGUUCGCACACACUCCAACCAGGAGCAACCAAGACCCCAAACUACGUCAAGACCUUGGGUUGGGUCACAACCACACUCAGUGUGUCAUUAAUCCCACACUCUAAUACGUGGCAUUCCACGUUCCCGGUUCUAAGCUCGAACUACCAUCCUGACCAACACUUUGCCCUACCCCGAGCCGCUGUCACUCACAGCUGACUACGCCUGCCCAAUGGGCCCAGGCUCCACAGUCCACAAAUGGUCCAGGCACGGAUCGUCCUCAAGCAAUACCCACAACCGUCGUCUCACACGACACGCUCACCCGAGCAACACACGUCACCAUCGGCUCCUAGGCACCUAGUGCGAGCCCAAACUAGGCCAUUUUCGGGUGCGGGGACCGGUCCUUGGACUUANGGUUUAACCAUUUACUAAGUCAAGUGUCACUUUAUGACAUUAAUGUUCACUAUGUCAAACAUGAGUUCUAUGUCCAAGAGCAUGUCAAACUUGUUAUUUCACUAAAUGAAAUAUAAUUUCAACCAUAUGUAAAGUGUGCUAUUCACAUGCAAGUUUAUUAUUUUUCUCUCUACUAUAUAGAGGUUAUAAAACAUGAUACAUGACAUAUGCAUUUUAAGCAUUCAAAAAUUCAUUUAUACUCAUCUAGCAUGAAUAUGCAUGAUUUUCCAUUUUACAAUAAAGGCAAUGACACAGGAGGAGUUCACCCAUUUCGGUGAGGUCAAACCCACCGGAUACCCCUCGAAACCCUUUCGUUUGCGCGAACGAGGUUGUACACGAGUCUCCUAGCUCUCUAACAAAAAUUCUAAGAGGGUUAGGGGCUUCGAACGAACACCCCCACAAAAUUCAUAAAAUUCAACCCAUAAAUAGGUAGACAAUUACCUAAUAUGGUGAAGAACUCUCCCAAAGACCCAAUAAGAGCUAGAACACUUCUAUUCCAACCUAGAGGAAGGCAUAGGAACCAUCAAUUUAGCCCUUAAGGCCCUAGUAAGAGAAACCCUAAAAUAAAACUCUACUUUUCAAAACUAGGUUUUCAUCCCAAAAAUCCACCAUAACACAAACCAAAGGAGGAAUCAAAGCUACUAACCUCUCUUUAAGCUCCAAACCAAGCUAGAAAGGUGCUAGGGUUGGAGUUCUUUCCCCAACAAAGCUAAUCUUUCUCUCCAAGGCUUCUCCAUGGUCCAACAUGCAACACCAUGCAAAGAGAAGAAAACAGGAGAGAUCAAUCCAUGAAAUUUCACAAGAAAAAGAGAGGAAAUCUAGAGAAUGGUAGAGAAGGAGACUCACAUUCUCUUCUCCUCAGGUUCCAGCACAAAAGAGCCCUUCAAAGGGGUGUGGGGUUAUUUAUAGAAAUGUAACAAUCCCAAAAAAAUCCCUAAAAAACAUACAGCCUGCAGCUGUACUACGUACCGAUACGCGGGCUGGAGUAUUGGUACCCGGCACCAAAUCCGCAAACCCGAGCCUUUGUAAAGCAAACAGACCGCAGUGUACCGGUACCCGCAUGGUGCAGUACCGGUACCAGUCUCCAGUACCGGUACUCGGGCGAUGCAGUACCGGUACUCUACCUCGCAGAGAUCAAACCCGAGAGCACCAUUCUCGGUUACGCGACGGGGUUUCGGUACCCCUACUUGGUACCGGUACCCAGCACCCCAAAACCUGUAAUGUAACACACUGAACAUUAGCAAAUUGUAAAGUUCAAGUGUUUGAUCAGUGUUUCGAGCUUUUUCAAGCUUUCUGGAGGGUCGUUAACUGUGUUUCGAUCUAUGACUCGCGUCUCGAGGAGCGAUGAUGAGUACUUGCAUCAAAACCUUCAAACUGCAGAUUUUGGGGUGCUGGGUACCGGUACCAGGAAAGGGGUACCAGAACCGCGUCGCGUACCCGAGAAGAGUGCUCUCGGGUUUGAGCUCUGCGAGGCAGAGUAUCGAUACUGCAUCGCCCGAGUAUCGGUUUGGACCUGGUACCGGUACUGCAUCGCGCGGGUACCGCUACCCAGUGCGUUUUCUCGCUUCACUGAAGCUCGGGUUUGCGCGAGCAGCUGCGGGGUGCCGAUAUUCCAGCCCGUGUACCGGUACGCAGUGCAGAUAUAGUCUGCACAUUUUUUAGGGGUCUUUCUGAGAUUGUUACAUCUCUAUAUAACUCCCCCCAGUUCCUUGAGAGCUCUUUUGAGCCCUAAACCGUAGAGACCAGAGGUGAGAGCUCCCUUCUCUUGAUUUUCUCCCUUUUUCUUGUGAUUUAGCUUUAUUUGAUCUCCUCUUUUUGUUUUUCCUUGCUCUAUGUUGGUUUGGCCACCUUGGAGAAGCCUUGGAUUGAGGAUUGGAGCUUGUUUGGAGGAAAUAUUUUCAAUCCUAGCUCAUUCCAAGUUCGGUUUGGAGCUUUUAGAAAGGUUAGUAGCCUUGAUCUUCUUUUAGAUCAUGUUUUGUGGGAUUUUUUGUGAUGAAAUCUAAAUAUGAGAAAUUUAGGAUUUCUUUUGGAGUUUUUUGAUUUGUAUCCUUUGGGGCUAAAUUGAUAGGUGUAGAACCUUAUUCUAGGUUGGAAUAGAAGUGCUCUGGCUCUCAUUUGGAGUUUGGGAGGGUUUUCUACCAUUCAAGGUGAGUUUUGACCUUUUUAUGGGUUGGUUAAAGAUUGGCUUAUGGGGUGUUCGUUCAUUGCCCCUAACCCUCUUAGAAUUUUCUUUAGGGAGCUAGUAGACUAGUGGACACUUUCGUUCGCACAAACGAAAGGGACACAAGGAGUACUCGGUGGGUUUGACCUCACUGAAAUAGGUGAACUCCCCCUAUAUUAUUUCUUAUGGUUUAAAAAUGGAAAAUCAUACAUAUUUAUGCUAGAUAGAGUAUAAAUAAAUUUUAGAAUGCUUAAAAUACAUGUGUUAUGUGUCAUGUUUUCAUAGCCUCUAUGUAGUAGAGAGAGAAAUGCAUAAUAACUUGCAUGUGAAGUGGCAUUCUUGUUCUAUGCUAAAGAUCAUAUUAUCUUUUGUAAAAUGACAAGUUUUUAUAUGCUUAUGGACAUAGAACAUAUAUUCGACAUAGUAAACCAUAAUGUUAUAAAAUGGCAUUGGACUUAGUAAACGAUUAAACCUCUACACUAUGACAUAGAACUAGACCUUUGGGUUGCUAGUAUUUAUACCAUGUUGGAGACAUGACGACCGUGUAUUUGAGAUGACGAUUAUGCUUGCUUGCCAUUUGUGCUCAUUUGCACAUGCUUGUGAGGGUCGCUCCUCACAAGUCGGCACUCCGGAGGUUGGCCUAUGCGAUAUUUACUCGCCCGUGCUGGCUCGGUGCCUACUGGGUCGGCGUGGGACAGGCUCAUUCCUUGCGGGGGACUGUUGGAUUACCACGGGCCAUUAGGUACGGCGCAAGCUGGACUAUACUUGUGUAGGUCCCAAGUUGAGAUUGGAUAAUGAUAUUUAAACUAUUAAUGUGACAAUCACUACUAGAUAGUAUAUAGUAGUUGGAUUCGUUGUACAUGCUUAGUGCAUAUGGUGACAUGCUUGUUGCAUACUAUUGGACACAUUGGACAUGCUUAGUGCAUAGUUGUGGACAUGCUUAGUGCAUAUGGUGACAUGCUUAGUGCAUACUAUUGGACAUAUUGGACAUGCCUAAUGCAUACUAGUGGACAUGUAUUCGACAUACUCAUUCAUGAUAGAGUAGUAAUAUUACUUGAUGAACACCAUGCUUAAUUGAGGCAUAGUAGCUUAGCAAAAUUUUAUUCGGAAAAUAUACAUGUUGUUUAUUUAUGUUCUUACUACUACUUUUGCCUCUAUAGCCUAGCGGUGUAUUUCACUGAUGUCGGCGGCUUACCCACUGGGAACUUUUAUUUAAGAGUUCUCACACCCUCUAUGUUGUUGGUUUUGUUUACAGAGCCUUCCAUACUGGGUGAGGCUAGGGAUAGGGACCGCGGCAAGGGAGUUGCCCCUAGCUAGGAUUGAGUGGUGAUUGUACUAAGUGGUCAUCUCUCUUUUUGUAUUUAUUAAAGAGAUAUUUUUGUACCCUAUGUAUAGAGACCACCAUUUUUGUAUCUAGCUUUAUGUACUUGGAACACAGAUGUAUGAUUUAUUUAUGGUUAUGAUAGUUGUUCAGUUUUAUUUCUACCACUUGUUAUUAGAAUUUAGUUGUUGUAUGCUCUGAUAACCUACUAGAUGCUUUCUUUUUCUCGUUCUAUUCAUUGCAUUGUUGUAAACGCCUUAUAUGUUAUAGGCAUAUGGUGGGUCUGGACAUGCGCCGGGCGGGCUUCCGUUGGGUCCCGGGGCGUGAAAGAUUAUAUUGGUAUCGGAGCCUAGGGUUCAGUGUUAGUGGAUCUAGCAAAUCUUAGGCCGGUUGGACUAUAGGAAAUAGGCUCGUGAGAGACAGGGUCUAUUUGACAUGCAAGCGAAAGUAUUAUGAUUGUGUUUUAUAUUAACUCUAAAAUGUUGGAGUUUAAUUGAAGUGUAUAGCUUCUAACUUCGCGGAAGAUUACGUUGGCGGCCGACAACGUAACAUCGGAAGUUAGUAGUGAGGCACACUUCAUUACUUUCACAUGAUUUGGGUAUUGUUUCCUUUGAGUGGGUUUGCGAUAGCAUGAGUUUUACUAACUUGCACUUUUAUGUUGUUGCAGUGAUCAUGCCGACUACUCGCUCUAAAUCUGCUGGGGCGCAUAAUGUGGCAAACUUUGAGGAGGUAGAGUCCUCCGCUACCUCCAGAUCUAGUAAGGUCCGCGAGUUGAGGACACAGCUUUCGGUCCUUACUAAGUUGGUGACCCAGCAAGCAGCGGCGGCUCAGCAGCAAGUCGAUGCAGCGUGCCGACAGGAGGCGCGGAUGAAGCGACUAGAGGACUUGCUUCUUCAGCAAUUAGCGGCGAGGGAGGCCCAGGAUCCCGCACCCCCUGCACCGGCCGAGGGUGUAGCAGCGAGGGUGUCGUCCCCGGCACCCGGUGCGUCUCGUGCGGCACCUAUUGUUGGGCAUCAAGAGGAGGUUGUUGUGGCACCACCGGCUCAAGUGCCCCUGACGGGAGCGGUUUUCCCGAUGAUGGUAGAGGGAGUGGAGAGAAAGUGGAUCAUUGGAUCGUGGAAAAGUGGUUAAUGCAUAUGGAGAAAUUGUUCUAUGACACCUUUGUGGAGUAGCGUGAUAGGGUUUGGCUCGCCACUCACCAUCUUGAUGGCAAGGCCUAAAACAAAUCGCGAAGGGUCCGACUGGACGAAUUGUCGAAGUAAAGUAUAAUCGAGAGAAAGAGAAUAGGGAAGAGGCGGAAGUGGCGCCAUCUUAGAAACGUCAAAGGAAAUGGCAAAACAAAGACCCUAAAAGAUCAAAGGUGAGAAGAGCGAGGAUGAAGAAGACGAAAGCCUCAAGCGAAGAAAGAAAAGAAAACAUGGAGAGGAAGAAAACAAGAGAGAGAAAGAGGGAGAGAAAAGCCGCCGAAUGAAAUUUCGAAGCCGGCUUUAAUGAUGAAGAGGAGUAUUGGUACCCGGCACCAAAUCCGCAAACCCGAGCCUUUGUAAAGCAAACAGACCGCAGUGUACCGGUACCCGCAUGGUGCAGUACCGGUACCAGUCUCCAGUACCGGUACUCGGGCGAUGCAGUACCGGUACUCUACCUCGCAGAGAUCAAACCCGAGAGCACCAUUCUCGGUUACGCGACGGGGUUUCGGUACCCCUACUUGGUACCGGUACCCAGCACCCCAAAACCUGUAAUGUAACACACUGAACAUUAGCAAAUUGUAAAGUUCAAGUGUUUGAUCAGUGUUUCGAGCUUUUUCAAGCUUUCUGGAGGGUCGUUAACUGUGUUUCGAUCUAUGACUCGCGUCUCGAGGAGCGAUGAUGAGUACUUGCAUCAAAACCUUCAAACUGCAGAUUUUGGGGUGCUGGGUACCGGUACCAGGAAAGGGGUACCAGAACCGCGUCGCGUACCCGAGAAGAGUGCUCUCGGGUUUGAGCUCUGCGAGGCAGAGUAUCGAUACUGCAUCGCCCGAGUAUCGGUUUGGACCUGGUACCGGUACUGCAUCGCGCGGGUACCGCUACCCAGUGCGUUUUCUCGCUUCACUGAAGCUCGGGUUUGCGCGAGCAGCUGCGGGGUGCCGAUAUUCCAGCCCGUGUACCGGUACGCAGUGCAGAUAUAGUCUGCACAUUUUUUAGGGGUCUUUCUGAGAUUGUUACAUCUCUAUAUAACUCCCCCCAGUUCCUUGAGAGCUCUUUUGAGCCCUAAACCGUAGAGACCAGAGGUGAGAGCUCCCUUCUCUUGAUUUUCUCCCUUUUUCUUGUGAUUUAGCUUUAUUUGAUCUCCUCUUUUUGUUUUUCCUUGCUCUAUGUUGGUUUGGCCACCUUGGAGAAGCCUUGGAUUGAGGAUUGGAGCUUGUUUGGAGGAAAUAUUUUCAAUCCUAGCUCAUUCCAAGUUCGGUUUGGAGCUUUUAGAAAGGUUAGUAGCCUUGAUCUUCUUUUAGAUCAUGUUUUGUGGGAUUUUUUGUGAUGAAAUCUAAAUAUGAGAAAUUUAGGAUUUCUUUUGGAGUUUUUUGAUUUGUAUCCUUUGGGGCUAAAUUGAUAGGUGUAGAACCUUAUUCUAGGUUGGAAUAGAAGUGCUCUGGCUCUCAUUUGGAGUUUGGGAGGGUUUUCUACCAUUCAAGGUGAGUUUUGACCUUUUUAUGGGUUGGUUAAAGAUUGGCUUAUGGGGUGUUCGUUCAUUGCCCCUAACCCUCUUAGAAUUUUCUUUAGGGAGCUAGUAGACUAGUGGACACUUUCGUUCGCACAAACGAAAGGGACACAAGGAGUACUCGGUGGGUUUGACCUCACUGAAAUAGGUGAACUCCCCCUAUAUUAUUUCUUAUGGUUUAAAAAUGGAAAAUCAUACAUAUUUAUGCUAGAUAGAGUAUAAAUAAAUUUUAGAAUGCUUAAAAUACAUGUGUUAUGUGUCAUGUUUUCAUAGCCUCUAUGUAGUAGAGAGAGAAAUGCAUAAUAACUUGCAUGUGAAGUGGCAUUCUUGUUCUAUGCUAAAGAUCAUAUUAUCUUUUGUAAAAUGACAAGUUUUUAUAUGCUUAUGGACAUAGAACAUAUAUUCGACAUAGUAAACCAUAAUGUUAUAAAAUGGCAUUGGACUUAGUAAACGAUUAAACCUCUACACUAUGACAUAGAACUAGACCUUUGGGUUGCUAGUAUUUAUACCAUGUUGGAGACAUGACGACCGUGUAUUUGAGAUGACGAUUAUGCUUGCUUGCCAUUUGUGCUCAUUUGCACAUGCUUGUGAGGGUCGCUCCUCACAAGUCGGCACUCCGGAGGUUGGCCUAUGCGAUAUUUACUCGCCCGUGCUGGCUCGGUGCCUACUGGGUCGGCGUGGGACAGGCUCAUUCCUUGCGGGGGACUGUUGGAUUACCACGGGCCAUUAGGUACGGCGCAAGCUGGACUAUACUUGUGUAGGUCCCAAGUUGAGAUUGGAUAAUGAUAUUUAAACUAUUAAUGUGACAAUCACUACUAGAUAGUAUAUAGUAGUUGGAUUCGUUGUACAUGCUUAGUGCAUAUGGUGACAUGCUUGUUGCAUACUAUUGGACACAUUGGACAUGCUUAGUGCAUAGUUGUGGACAUGCUUAGUGCAUAUGGUGACAUGCUUAGUGCAUACUAUUGGACAUAUUGGACAUGCCUAAUGCAUACUAGUGGACAUGUAUUCGACAUACUCAUUCAUGAUAGAGUAGUAAUAUUACUUGAUGAACACCAUGCUUAAUUGAGGCAUAGUAGCUUAGCAAAAUUUUAUUCGGAAAAUAUACAUGUUGUUUAUUUAUGUUCUUACUACUACUUUUGCCUCUAUAGCCUAGCGGUGUAUUUCACUGAUGUCGGCGGCUUACCCACUGGGAACUUUUAUUUAAGAGUUCUCACACCCUCUAUGUUGUUGGUUUUGUUUACAGAGCCUUCCAUACUGGGUGAGGCUAGGGAUAGGGACCGCGGCAAGGGAGUUGCCCCUAGCUAGGAUUGAGUGGUGAUUGUACUAAGUGGUCAUCUCUCUUUUUGUAUUUAUUAAAGAGAUAUUUUUGUACCCUAUGUAUAGAGACCACCAUUUUUGUAUCUAGCUUUAUGUACUUGGAACACAGAUGUAUGAUUUAUUUAUGGUUAUGAUAGUUGUUCAGUUUUAUUUCUACCACUUGUUAUUAGAAUUUAGUUGUUGUAUGCUCUGAUAACCUACUAGAUGCUUUCUUUUUCUCGUUCUAUUCAUUGCAUUGUUGUAAACGCCUUAUAUGUUAUAGGCAUAUGGUGGGUCUGGACAUGCGCCGGGCGGGCUUCCGUUGGGUCCCGGGGCGUGAAAGAUUAUAUUGGUAUCGGAGCCUAGGGUUCAGUGUUAGUGGAUCUAGCAAAUCUUAGGCCGGUUGGACUAUAGGAAAUAGGCUCGUGAGAGACAGGGUCUAUUUGACAUGCAAGCGAAAGUAUUAUGAUUGUGUUUUAUAUUAACUCUAAAAUGUUGGAGUUUAAUUGAAGUGUAUAGCUUCUAACUUCGCGGAAGAUUACGUUGGCGGCCGACAACGUAACAUCGGAAGUUAGUAGUGAGGCACACUUCAUUACUUUCACAUGAUUUGGGUAUUGUUUCCUUUGAGUGGGUUUGCGAUAGCAUGAGUUUUACUAACUUGCACUUUUAUGUUGUUGCAGUGAUCAUGCCGACUACUCGCUCUAAAUCUGCUGGGGCGCAUAAUGUGGCAAACUUUGAGGAGGUAGAGUCCUCCGCUACCUCCAGAUCUAGUAAGGUCCGCGAGUUGAGGACACAGCUUUCGGUCCUUACUAAGUUGGUGACCCAGCAAGCAGCGGCGGCUCAGCAGCAAGUCGAUGCAGCGUGCCGACAGGAGGCGCGGAUGAAGCGACUAGAGGACUUGCUUCUUCAGCAAUUAGCGGCGAGGGAGGCCCAGGAUCCCGCACCCCCUGCACCGGCCGAGGGUGUAGCAGCGAGGGUGUCGUCCCCGGCACCCGGUGCGUCUCGUGCGGCACCUAUUGUUGGGCAUCAAGAGGAGGUUGUUGUGGCACCACCGGCUCAAGUGCCCCUGACGGGAGCGGUUUUCCCGAUGAUGGUAGAGGGAGUGGAGAGAAAGUGGAUCAUUGGAUCGUGGAAAAGUGGUUAAUGCAUAUGGAGAAAUUGUUCUAUGACACCUUUGUGGAGUAGCGUGAUAGGGUUUGGCUCGCCACUCACCAUCUUGAUGGCAAGGCCUAAAACAAAUCGCGAAGGGUCCGACUGGACGAAUUGUCGAAGUAAAGUAUAAUCGAGAGAAAGAGAAUAGGGAAGAGGCGGAAGUGGCGCCAUCUUAGAAACGUCAAAGGAAAUGGCAAAACAAAGACCCUAAAAGAUCAAAGGUGAGAAGAGCGAGGAUGAAGAAGACGAAAGCCUCAAGCGAAGAAAGAAAAGAAAACAUGGAGAGGAAGAAAACAAGAGAGAGAAAGAGGGAGAGAAAAGCCGCCGAAUGAAAUUUCGAAGCCGGCUUUAAUGAUGAAGAGACGACAGCAAUAAAUGUGACCUAAUUAAUGCCGCAUAUAAGACAAAAUGGAAUAUGGGAGAUCAUGGCCGUCGAAAGGUGAAAAGACGGCUGAGAGAGAAAUCGUGCGGGGCAAUUCGAAAUCAUAAUUUCGAAACUCUCGCCUUCGAAAAAAAUUAUGCCAACUACCGAAUCGUCUGUUCGGAGGCUGCAGAGGGGGCAAUUGUUAGGGCCAAUAGUAAUUUGCCACGUGACGGGUUGGUGCAUGAUUCAUCCGGGAGCCAGGAUUAAAUAGCAUUUGGUGCACCGGGAGUAGAAAAAGAAAAAGGAGUCAUGGCAUAACUGCAAGCGGUUUUGAGUGGUUAGGAUCUGCUCAUAGUGGCCCGCAAAGAAAACGAAGUCACGACAUAAUCGCAAGGGCCUUUUCCCUGCGUAAAGAAGACCACCUUUCAAUUUCUCUACAUUUUCUUGCUUUUCUAGGAAUAGUUCUACUUGUAACCCUUUCCCACAUUUACUGUCUUUCCUAGGAGUAGUUUUAGGAUUAGAUUUUUUGAGUCUCUAUGCCCCACGGGCAUGCUCUCUUUUGUACAAGUUUCUAAAUUUGAUUUCAAUAUAUACAGGCAUUCGGCUCAUCAGCCGACCCAAAGUAUUGUGUAUUUCUUACAUUCGGCUCAUUUAGCCGAACAGUUUCUAAAGUAAAGGUUUUCGAACCCGACUGAUAUGAUCCCUCAUCAGCCGAAUCGUUUGAUCCGUCGGAGGGCGCGAACUUCGAGGUUCACCACGUGAAGCCGAACCCAAUUCUUGCACGCUUCCCUAAAGAGACCUUUGACCAGGUCAAAGGUUGAGGAAUUCGGCAUCUAGCAGUUUGUAUAGGAAACCUCUAUCCAUAUGGUAGGUCUAUGCGCAUCGCAGUGUGUCUUUAAAGGUAUUUUAAAAAAAUAAAUAUUUUUCCGCUGGCUUUCCUAAAAUAGAUUGUAGUAUCCAUAUUUCUUUAUCUUUUCUCUUCUUUUUUCUUUUUAUUUCUUUUGAGUUGGUAAGCUAGCUGGGGAUAAGGAUGCCACGUGCACCUUACCCCCAAGCAUGCUUAUCAUCUUGAUACAUGUGCAUUGUAUAUAUAUAGAUCUUGAGCCGUACGUAGAGGAGGAGCUCGGGUGGUGUGGAGUUUCGUCGACGUCGCGCCGCGGUGCCGUUCGAGCGUGUGUUCGUCGUCGUAGCAUCGCGAGGGGGGCCGGGCGAGGGUCCGAUUCCGCCGUUUUUGUUGUCGCGCCGGAUUGUGAUUAGCGUUUGAGGUGGGUUACAUCGGCUUUACUCCUAAGUUCGUAUUGGUCGACAUGUAUAGGUUUUGAUUUCGGUAAUUAAUGUUAGCUCAAAUUCAUGGAUUAAUUGUAGAUUGUGAAAUCUGAAUUUUGGAGCAUGUUUUAUAAAUUAGGUAGAUUAUACAUGUUGGACUUGAAAAUUGAAUUAGGAGAAAACCUGCGAUUUUGGCCUGUCACCUGUAUAAACUACUUGAUUUAGCUCUAGGAGCCGUUAGAAAAUUGUACUGUCGCAGUUUCUUCGAGACGAGUACUCCAGGUAGUUUAGAAUGUAUUUACACUCGUGCUGGUUCGCCGAGUGGAUUUUUACAGGGUCGUUCAGGUUGUUUCGGACUGUUGGGUGCCGUCAGAGUUGACGGUGGACCCGUAUCGCCUUUUUGGCGUCAGAUUGUGCCGAGGGCACGUUACCUGUUGGUUGUUAGACCAGUUUGAGUCGAUUACUUGACUUUGGCUAGUUGGAGCCUGAUUGAGCUCGACAGAGAUACGCUGCAUACUCGGUUGGGUAGCGCCCACGAGUGCCACUCCGGAGUCAGGCUUGUGCUUUUGCGUUGGUGUCGCUCAUGCCAGUUGGACUUGCCCUCCACGGACCAGUUAGUGUGGAUAGAGCCGAUAGUCGCAGCGGGGCAGGGACGGGUGUAUUCACAAUCCCGGGGGACGGGUAUGCUUACAGUCCCGAUUUGGAUUGGGUCAGAUUUGACAUUUCCUACAGUNNNNNNNNNNNNNNNNNNNNNNNUAAGGCUCUUUACCGACCUACGGUACUUCAGUCUUUAACUGAGUUAUGUAAGGUUGUUCCAAACCUAAAACCAUCUGGGUGGUUUUCCAUAUUAUGGAUAGCCCACAUUUACCUAGAUGUUUUCUUUCUAUCCAAGUCUACCUUUCCAUCUCUGGAUAUUUCGUUCCGACCAACGCUUUCCAAUAUCAGUUGCGCUUCCGUAACUGAUAGUCCUCUGAAAAAGUGGACACCGGUACGAAUUUAGGUAAGCUUGUGACGAACGGGAACGUUGUAUGAUACUAAUACUCUAGACCGUUUACCUACACUUUUGACGGAAGGAUUUACCUAUAGAACUCCUUCUAUAGAUAUACCUCGUCGGAAACCCAAAGUGAAGGCCACUGCUUUCAGUGUUUCAUACGUUCAACGUUGCCAGGUAAAUACCUGAAUUCGUUCAUAGAGCCUGAAUCUUAUGAGCAAAGCUAUUGCACUAAUUUAGCAAAUUAAAGCAAUUCUUACUCCUCCUUGGUACACAAAUAUUCUUCCAGUCACCCUCUCGACAGUGUAAGGAGCAUAACAUGCACCUACUGUAAGAGGAUUAACCCUUACUGUAAGGUUACGACUGAAGUCAAUUUUAUACCAACAGAUUUUUUAAGAGGUACUUUCUAGAUCCCCUUCGUAGGAUAGAAAACCCCUAUUUCCAGAUAUCUCUAUCUAGAUUUUCCUACGAUCCGGAGAGUGUCUUUGACAUGUAUCUUCUCCACGACUUCUCCAAGCCGUACCUUUUGAGGUUUUCCCCUGAAAAUGGAGAAUCUGUACCUUAAAUAGAGAGAUUCUUUUACACGGGGUUAUGUAAACUUCUCUAAGUUGCAUACUCAUUCUAGGGAAUACGUAGUCGAUAUCCCUCAGAAUACAUACGGUACGAUACAUGUGCUGGACUAUAGCGCGAACGUCACUCACAGUGUUCAUCUAUAGUUAGAUUAGGUCCACUCCUCGUGACCUAACGACACUUCUUGUAUGAGUUUAUGAACUCUUCCUGAUUCCUAUACAAGAACCAGAAACCUUAUCUUCUCAACUUUCAUGUUCCUAUAUGACUAAGUCUGUAAUACAGACUACAACUGCUAUCUUUCAGAUGCAAUCCUACACAUAAGAAUACGCUAUCACCCAACCACAUAACCUUCUCAAGGUUUGUUGGUGGGAUGGUACCUUCGUCUCAUAUAGCGGCGUAAACUACAUCCGGAAGACUAAGUACUUCAAACAGUGCCUUAAUUCACACUACAGUAGCCUACGGUAUGGUGAGAUAACGCUGUUUUUACCGCGGUAUCGGGAUCGAUUCCUCGGGUCCAGAGUAGUCUUCAGGUUCGUGUAUCUCGCCGCCAAAGUAUAAUAUACACUGAUAGAGCUGUCUUUAUUUAGCUCUACGUCUCUCAUCUGAGGUGCCUAUUGCACCGUCUGGGAAACUGAUUUGGUGAAUCGAUCGUCUUCUGACUUCAGGUGGAACUCUUCUACCCUGAAUCGAUAUACCGACUAACCGAAAUCACGUUCACCCUCUAACAAUCUACAUACGGGAUCUUCGGUUAGUCUGGCUGUGUAUAUAAGAAAGAUCCUGUAUUUAAACAUAAACUGAAAAUUUUAUAAUACUUAUUGAAACCAAAAAUAAAGGUAAGUACAACACAUACACAGGUACUUAGCAGGUUCCUUAAUUAUUCUACUACUGUAUAUAAGAGUUCACAACUCUUAAACUCUGUACACAGUAACCACUAAUUAAGGAUUUACGAAGGCUAGUUACCUAGUAGUGCCCCUGCCACUAACUAGGCUACUCUAACCACGUAUUCAGCGAAGGGAAAGUCCCAUCUGCUCAAAGCUCAACUGUCACACCCCUGUAACUUCGCUUAUACGUCCACCAACAAUCUCUUNUUCCCAUGGCUCGCACUGGUUGCGCUCUUCAGUGAACCUACAGAUGAGUGAGCAGUCACUGAAUGAGUUAACAACGUCAUCACACUGACCAGGAAACUGGACGCCACGGAGCCGAUAAGUGUUACUCCAAUGACAUCAAACUGACAUGUAUGUGAACCAGGGAUCGGUAAGCCCAGGAACGCCACGUACAACCGACGUCAUCCAAGUAACAUCCUUAUCCCACGCGUGAGUCUACCUUAGAUAGAGGGAACCAUCUAUCCCCACAAUCGAUGUCAGACAUCGUCUCGUUGUAGGUUUUGGGAUCAUCUCCAUAUUCCUAUCUCCAUGAGGAACAUUUCCUCUACUUCCUCUGUAACGAUAUCUAAGUAUCUUUUAGUGGGAUGGGAGAUUUUACUCGACCUACGAGGUGGAGGAGGUACUACAUGUACUGGCUCAGUUUGAAUAGGUUCUGUAGGUUUGAUGACUCGUUGCUCUUCAGAUAUUCUCUCUUCGAGCUCAAUUUUUCUCCUACUAGCUUCUUGAAUAAACUGUUUUUCUAAUAAAAUAGCAUGUUUGCUCACAACUAUAUUGUGAUUCUCUGGGAUAUAAAAAUAGUAACCUAAAGUUUCUUUAGGAUAUCCAAUAAAACGAGCCCUCUCAGACCUAGCCUCUAACUUGUCCGCCUGUAGUCGUUUAACAUAGGCCGGACAUCCCCAAAUCUUGAUAUGACCAAGACUUGGUUUCUUACUAUGCCACAUCUCAUACGGCGUGGUAGGAACGGAUUUUAGAGGGAACCCUAUUUAACAAAUAAGCUGCGGUAAGCAAAGCAUGUCUUCAAAGAAAUAAAAGAAGAUCAGUGAAGCUCAUCAUGGAUCGAACCAUAUAGAAUAAGGUUUGGUUUCUCCGUUCUGACACCCCGUUGAGUUGAGGUGUUCCCGAAGGAGUCCACUAUGAGACUAUGCCGUUUUCUUUGAGAUAAUUUAGGAACUCUCCACUAAGGUAUUCUCCUCCUCGAUCUGAUCGAAGAACCUUGAUGGAUUUUUCAGUUUGUUUUUCUACUUCAUAUUUGAAUUUUUUGAACUUUUCAAAAGCCUCAGAUUUGUGUUUCAUAAGAUACACAUACCCAUACCGUGAAUAAUCAUCGGUAAAGGUUAUGAAGUAGAGAUAACCACCCCUAGCAUGCACAUCAAAUGGCCCACACACAUCAGUGUGUAUCAAGGAAAGUAUCUCAGUGGCCCUUUCCCCUUGUCCUACAAAGGGUAAUUUAGUCAAUUUUCCUUGAAGACAAGAUUCACAAACUGAAUAAGACUCUGAAGUCAAUGGGCCGAGAAGCCCAUCUUUAUCCAAUUUAUUGAUCCUUUCUUCUUCACUAUGACCAAGCCUGAGGUGCCACAUAUACUUUAGGUUCAUUUCAUCUCUAGGUCUCUUAAACCCAACAGCAGUCACUACUUACUCAGAAAUAUUUAUAGAUACAUCCAUAUGUAAAUGAUAAAGACUGUCAAUUAUAAAACCACAGCCAAUAAUUUUAUUUCUAAAAUAAAUUAUGUAGUAGUUUUUGUCAAAAUUAAACCAUUCUGUGCAGAAAUUAAAUUUCUGCUAGCAGGAGGUACAUAAUUGCAGUCUUUAAGUAAUAAAACAUAUCCUGACGGUAGUCGCAAAGGAUAGGUGCCAGCAGCCACAGUAGCAACUCUUGCCCCGUUGCCCACCCGUAGGGUCACUUCACCUUCCCUAAGCUCUCUACUUUUCUUUAGACCCUGCAUUGAAGUACACAGAUAAGAACCAGAACCAGAGUCUAUAACCCAACUAGAAGUAGAGGAAACCGUAAGGUUAGUUUCUAUUACGAGCAAGUCUGACAUACCUUCCAAAGGUGUGUCCUUCCUUUUAUUCUUUAAGCUCUCCAAGUAGACAGGACAAUUUCUCUUCCAAUGACCGUCAACGUUGCAGUGGAAACAUUUUCCUUUGUUAGCGGCCUUAUUCUUAGAAGCUUCCUUCUUGGGCUUGUUUUCCGUCUUUUGUUUCUUCGCGGGUUUCUUCUUCCAAUUAGACUUUCUUUUGGAAGAGGAAGCUCGCUCCACAGCGAGAAUCGAACCCUUUGAACUUUUCAAAGUCCCCUCUGUAGUUACCAACAUGUUCAAUAACUCUGCGUUGGUGCAUUCAAUUUUAUUCAUAUGGUAGUUUACAAUAAACUGUCCAUAUGAUACAGGAAGGGAUUGUAGGAUCAGAUCAACUUGCAAUUCCUUGUCCAUUUUCACGCCAAGCUUCUCAAGCUCCUCGAGGUCUUUGAUCAUUGUCAAACAGUGAUCAUGAACAGACUGCCCAUCUGUUAGUUAUUGGACGUUUUGGCAACGUGAGAUUUACCUGGUCGAGAACAAUGCAGAGCUUAUUGAAAUUUAAAACCAUUUUUAAAUUCCUUAGCCAGUCUUUAUAAUUAAUUUCAGUUAAGGAUUUUGUGUCGAGAAUACGAGAGAGAUAAUUGGAAGCAGACAUUUACUUUGCAGAGAGUAAAGAUUCAAGUUAGAUAUUUGUAUUUGUUUUGAAAAAUUGUUUUAGGGAUUUUAAAAACAAAUUUAACCUCCAAUUAUUUUCUCGAGUCUCUUACACUCCUCGGGUAGAGAAACGAAAACCCAACGCGACAAGAGGUUUCAAGUGGGUACUGCGGUCCCACCAAUUUAACGUACCACCUCACCUAACAGUUAUUGGUGAUAUGCAAACCGAUGAGUGGACAACUCUUGUCCAAUGCUUCUCAAGCAAAUUGCAGUGAUCGGUCUCUAAGUCCUAUAGGCCUCACCUGACAGUUAUUGGCCCCAUUCCUUAGUUAAGUCAGACCCACCGUUCAAACGCGUAAGCAAAACCGUCAUUGGGUCCCUCACCUGACAGUUAUUGGGCCCAACCCCAUCUUUACUCCGCAGCAUCUCAUGCUAAUAGAGUGGUUGCGAAUUCCCGAUGCAACUGACCACUGUAACCAGCCGUGCCAAUCAACACCAGAAAAGCGCCCGCACUUCUACAACGGCGGAAGACCGCUCGACUUAAUAUUUAUGAGGAGAUUUAUUUAGGUCUCAAAAAAUAUUUUAUUUAUUUGCAAAUAAAAUAAAAAAUCAAUCCGCGCAAACAAACAUAAUUAAACUGGUGAUGAUCAUGGAUCUUAGAAGUGGAUUCGGACUCGAGCCACUGAGUCGGAAUCGGGGUCUUAGGGUCAUAAAUUACAAGCACACACACGUCAUUGGUUUGAUCGUCUUCAACUUCUUGAUCCGAUCUGGAGCUUCAACUUGAUUUGAUCCUUAUCAACACCUUGAUCCGACCGCCAUCAAGUAUUCAUCUCUAUCCGGGCUUUGCGAACUUUUAGGCUUGCAACCGAUCAACCAAUGACGUGCAACCAUACAUUAUACAACCCAAUAAUAAAAAAAAUAAAAUAAAAAUUAAUUACAUUUGAUAACGUUUAUCUCUAACCUAUUGAGACACGCAGGUCUCCAAAUAAAUCGGCUUGUGCACGCAGGCACAAAUAUAGCCAUCUCUAAUACAAAAUUCUUAAUUUAAACAAAUUUAAAAUUACAGGAUUCUGCAUACACAUCAUACAUCACAUGUCGAAAUAAAAAAAAAAAAAAAGGUUGCUAUCCAUGAUCAUCACCGUAUCUCAUACAUCACAUGUAUAAUAAUAAAUUUUGGAUAUUCUAAUUAACCGUUAACCGAUGAUUCGAAAGAAUAAAUUAUUAAAAAUAAUCAAUCUUAUUGAUUAUUAUAAUUUUGAUCAACAACUUAAUUUACAAAAAUAACAUCUUGAUCUCAUCAAGAAAUCAAUUUGAUCUAAUCAAAUUAGAUCUUUUUCUUUUAUUUUAAAAUCGAUCUAAUCAACCUUUAAAAAAAAAAAUUUAAAUUAAAUUUUUUUUAAAAUUCCGUACGAUUGCUACAGUAGCAUCGUACGGAUGCUACAGUAGCGUCGUACGGGGAUGCUACAGUAGCGUCCGUACAGAUGCUACAGUAGCAUCGCUACAGUAACUUUUUUUUUCUUUUUUUUUGAAACCAAUAGAUUAAAUAGUUGAUCGAUUUAUAAUUUUCGAAUUAGCUAAAAACGAUCUAUAAAUCGUUCGAUCGGCGAAAAACAGUUUAGAAUACCAAACUCAUAAUUUUAAUCUUAAAAACAUGAGAAUGGCUCUGAUACCACUGUUAGAAAAUUGCGUACGGUAAAAACGCAGCGGAAAAAGAAAUCAAACAAAUUUGAUUUUUUAAAACUCUCGAGAUCAAAUCUCAAAAACCACGCAAUUAGGAUCCCUCAUGUUCUUUAAGAUUAAAGGAGAAAAGUAAGAUCGAAU